This 492-nucleotide ribosomal RNA is filed under the name uncultured bacterium. RNAcentral describes it as "partial 16S ribosomal RNA". It matches the Rfam family "Bacterial small subunit ribosomal RNA", at positions 29 to 507 of the family's 1533-position model. The record is from RNAcentral.
AGUGAACGCUGGCGGUAGGCCUAACACAUGCAAGUCGAACGGCAGCACAGUAAGAGCUUGCUCUUACGGGUGGCGAGUGGCGGACGGGUGAGGAAUACAUCGGAAUCUACUUUUUCGUGGGGGAUAACGUAGGGAAACUUACGCUAAUACCGCAUACGACCUACGGGUGAAAGCAGGGGAUCUUCGGACCUUGCGCGAUUGAAUGAGCCGAUGUCGGAUUAGCUAGUUGGCGGGGUAAAGGCCCACCAAGGCGACGAUCCGUAGCUGGUCUGAGAGGAUGAUCAGCCACGCUGGAACUGAGGAACGGUCCCGACUCCUACGGGAGGCAGCAGUGGGGAAUAUUGGACAAUGGGCGCAAGCCUGAUCCAGCCAUACCGCGUGGGUGAAGAAGGCCUUCGGGUUGUAAAGCCCUUUUGUUGGGAAAGAAAAGCAGCAGGUUAAUACCCCGCUGUUCUGACGGUACCCAAAGAAUAGGCACCGGCUAACUUCGUG